CCCUUAGAGUUUGAUCCUGGCUCAGAAUCAACGCUGGCGGCGUGCCUAACACAUGCAAGUCGCACGAGAAAAUCCCCGCAAGGGGAUGAGUACAGUGGCGUACGGGUGAGUAACACGUGACUAACCUACCCUAAAGUGGGGGAUAACCUCGGGAAACCGGGGCUAAUACCGCAUACUCUCGCGAGGUGAAAUUCCUUGUGAGCAAAGCAGCAAUGCGCUUAUGGAGGGGGUCGCGGCUGAUUAGCUAGUUGGCGGGGUAACGGCCCACCAAGGCGAUGAUCAGUAUCCGGCCUGAGAGGGCGCACGGACACACUGGAACUGAAACACGGUCCAGACUCCUACGGGAGGCAGCAGUGGGGAAUUUUGCGCAAUGGGGGAAACCCUGACGCAGCAACGCCGCGUGGAGGAUGAAGUCCCUUGGGACGUAAACUCCUUUCGAUCGGGACGAUAAUGACGGUACCGGAAGAAGAAGCCCCGGCUAACUUCGUGCCAGCAGCCGCGGUAAUACGAGGGGGGCAAGCGUUGUUCGGAAUUAUUGGGCGUAAAGGGCGCGUAGGCGGUGCGGUAAGUCUGCUGUGAAAUCUCCGGGCUCAACUCGGAGUCUGCAGCGGAAACUGCCGUGCUGGAGUGUGGGAGAGGAGAGUGGAAUUCCCGGUGUAGCGGUGAAAUGCGUAGAUAUCGGGAGGAACACCCGUGGCGAAAGCGGCUCUCUGGACCACUACUGACGCUGAGGCGCGAAAGCUAGGGGAGCAAACAGGAUUAGAUACCCUGGUAGUCCUAGCCCUAAACGAUGGAUGUUUGGGUGUGGCGGGUACCCAAUCCCGCCGUGCCGGAGCUACGCGUUAAACAUCCCGCCUGGGGAG
Molecule: ribosomal RNA, 863 nt
Filed under: uncultured bacterium
Lineage: Bacteria
Description: bacterial SSU rRNA
Rfam family: Bacterial small subunit ribosomal RNA
Source: RNAcentral